RNAcentral lists this ribosomal RNA (708 nucleotides) under uncultured archaeon 112D. Its description in RNAcentral is "bacterial SSU rRNA". It matches the Rfam family "Archaeal small subunit ribosomal RNA", at positions 83 to 795 of the family's 1478-position model. The record is from RNAcentral.
GACUGCUCAGUAACACGUGGAUAACAUGCCCUUAAGUGGAGGAUAAUCUCGGGAAAUUGAGGAUAAUACUCCAUAGAUCAUGAAAUCUGGAAUGAUUCAUGGUUCAAAGUUCCGGCGCUUAAGGAUUGGUCUGCGGCCUAUCAGGUAGUAGUGGGUGUAACGGACCCACUAGCCGAUGACGGUAUGGGCCUUGAGAGAGGAGCCAGAGAUGGAUUCUGAGACACGUAUCCAGGCCCUACGGGGCGCAGCAGUCGCGAAAACUUCACAAUGGAGGCAACUCCGAUGAGGGAAUUCCUAGUGCCAAUGCAUUUUGUGUUGGCUUUUCUUCAGCGUAGAUAACUGAUGGAAUAAGGGCUGGGUAAGACGGGUGCCAGCCGCCGCGGUAAUACCCGCAGCCCAAGUGGUGGUCGAUAUUAUUGAGUCUAAAACGUUCGUAGCCGGUUCAAUAAAUCUCUGGGUAAAUCGGAGGGCUCAACCUUCCGAAUUCCGGAGCGACUGUUGAACUUGGGACCGGGAGAGGCAAGAGGUACUUCUGGGGUAGGGGUAAAAUCCUGUAAUCCUAGAAGGACCACCGGUGGCGAAGGCGUCUUGCUAGAACGGAUCCGACGGUGAGGGACGAAGCUCCUGGGUCGCAAACGGGAUUAGAUACCCCGGUAGUCCAGGGUGUAAACGCUGCAGACUUGGUGUUGGGAACCCUUCGGGGGUGCU